RNAcentral lists this ribosomal RNA (253 nucleotides) under uncultured bacterium. RNAcentral describes it as "partial 16S ribosomal RNA". It matches the Rfam family "Bacterial small subunit ribosomal RNA", at positions 524 to 776 of the family's 1533-position model. The record is from RNAcentral.
UACGUAGGGGGCUAGCGUUGUCCGGAAUCAUUGGGCGUAAAGCGCGUGUAGGCGGUCCGGUAAGUCCGCUGUGAAAGUCGGGGGCUCAACCCUCGGAUGCCGGUGGAUACUGUCGGGCUUGAGUACGGAAGAGGCGAGUGGAAUUCCUGGUGUAGCGGUGAAAUGCGUAGAUAUCUGGAGGAACACCGGUGGCGAAGGCGGCAUCCUGGACCGGCAUUGACGCUGAGGAGCGAAAGCCAGGGGAGCAAACGGG